Triticum aestivum (bread wheat) is the source of this 124-nucleotide non-coding RNA. NCBI's taxonomy places the organism in Eukaryota, Viridiplantae, Streptophyta, Magnoliopsida, Poales, Poaceae. The record is from Rfam.
AUUCUACUCCCUCCAUUCCACAAUACAUGCCUUCUAUUUGUCAAAAUAUAGAUGUUUUAGUAUAUAGGUACAUCCAUUUUUGGACAAAUGGAAGUCAAGUAUUUUGGAACGGAGGGAGUACACA